RNAcentral lists this non-coding RNA (93 nucleotides) under Bacillus sp. (in: firmicutes). RNAcentral describes it as "Bacillus sp. Glycine sequence". It matches the Rfam family "Glycine riboswitch aptamer". Rfam says of the family: This family represents the bacterial glycine riboswitch. Glycine riboswitches usually consist of two metabolite-binding aptamers domains with similar structures in tandem. The aptamers cooperatively bind glycine to regulate the expression of downstream genes. Lineage: Bacteria; Bacillati; Bacillota; Bacilli; Caryophanales; Bacillaceae. The record is from RNAcentral.
AUGAGAAUAAGGGGAGAGACUAUAGCUAAGGUAUAUAGCGCCGAAGGAGCAAACAUCUGUGAAUCUCUCAGGCAAAAAGACUCUUAUUUGACG